RNAcentral lists this ribosomal RNA (316 nucleotides) under uncultured Acidobacteriota bacterium. RNAcentral describes it as "bacterial SSU rRNA". It matches the Rfam family "Bacterial small subunit ribosomal RNA", at positions 23 to 352 of the family's 1533-position model. Lineage: Bacteria; Pseudomonadati; Acidobacteriota. The record is from RNAcentral.
CUCAGAAAGAAAGCUGGCGGCGUGUUCANCCAUGCAAGUCGAGUGCGCGGUUGUAGCAAUACAACUGGCGCACGGCGCACUUGUGCGUAACACGUGGGUAACCUGCCCUUUGGUGGGGAAUAACUCCGCGAAAGCGGAGCUAAUUCCGCAUAAGAUCCGCAAGGAUGAAAGCCGCAAGGCGCCGAAGGAGGGGCCCGCGCCCGAUUAGCUAGUUGGUGAGGCAAUGGCUCACCAAGGCUUUGAUCGGUAGCUGGUCUGAGAGGAUGAUCAGCCACACUGGAACUGAGACACGGUCCAGACUCCUACGGGAGGCAGC